UACGGAGGAUGCGAGCGUUAUCCGGAUUCAUUGGGUUUAAAGGGUGCGCAGGCGGGCCUUUAAGCCGGCGGUGAAAUCGCGGGGCUCAACCCCGCCGAGCCGUCGGAACUGGGGGCCUUGAGUGCGGCGGAGGCAUGCGGAAUGCGCGGUGUAGCGGUGAAAUGCAUAGAUAUCGCGCAGAACCCCGAUUGCGAAGGCAGCGUGCCGUGCCGCCACUGACGCUGAGGCACGAAAGCGCGGGGAUCGAA
Molecule: ribosomal RNA, 248 nt
Filed under: uncultured Muribaculaceae bacterium
Lineage: Bacteria; Pseudomonadati; Bacteroidota; Bacteroidia; Bacteroidales; Muribaculaceae
Description: partial 16S ribosomal RNA
Rfam family: Bacterial small subunit ribosomal RNA
Source: RNAcentral